Molecule: long non-coding RNA, 1427 nt
Organism: Conger conger (European conger)
Lineage: Eukaryota; Metazoa; Chordata; Actinopteri; Anguilliformes; Congridae
Exons: 4
Source: RefSeq, a predicted model, not a curated record
GAUAUUACUGUAUUGUAAUGUGAUUAUGUACUGUAUUUGUUUGUAUAAUGUUUGUGUUCAUGACUGUUCUAAUAUAUUAUCAUCUCUCUUUCGCAUAUGAUCUCGGAAAUACCGUGGUGCUUAGACGGAGAUGUUCCUGUAUCAAAACCCAAUGUCAGUGUCAUUAGUGAUGAAUAUCCCUGCAAGUUAAUGUGCACUGUGGAGAGAGGGACAGACGCGACCCUGACCUGGUACAGAGGGGAUGAGGAGAAACCCUACAGUAGCUCCCCUGUUCACAGUGCCCCAGAUCUGUAUCUACCUCAGACUGUGGAGAGGAGCGGUAUCUACACCUGUGAGGCGAAGAACUCUGUCAGUACUAAUAGAUCAGCCCCACUGACUGUGGGAGACCACUGCACAGGUGGAGCUGCAGGCAGCUGGCAGACGGAGGGCUGUAGAGUGUGGAGCCUGGCUCUGGGACUUGUUGUGACGCUGCACAGUCUUCUGGUCUGAGCCUGAUGAGUCAGAGCUGCAGAGGGCCCAGCAGGUUUCUGUUCUCCUGUCAUCCUGUCAUCCUGUCAUCCUCCACCUCAUGGGUCUAACUCUGUCCUGGGGGGCCCCCGUGUCUGCUGCCUGCCCCCUCUGUCUGUUCCCCCCCUGUGUCCGCUGCACCCUCUCUAUCUGCCAGUGAGACCCUUCAAUCUCAGAUAACCGUCACACGAUAAAAGACAAUUUCACUGUCAUGGAAUUUCAUUUUUCUGAACUUCUUAAACUGUUGCUGAUAGAACUCUGUUUAUUCCAUGUGCUCUUUACCUUCUGAAGCUGUGUACUCCAGCUCAGUGUCUCUCUGUGUCCACACCUUCUGAAGCUGUGUACUCCAGCUCAGUGUCUCUGUGUGUCCACACCUUCUGAAGCUGUGUGUAGUCCAGCUCAGUGUCUCUCUCUGUCCACACGUUCUGAAGCUGUGCACUCCAGCUCAGUGUAUCUGUGUCCACACCUUCUGAAGCUGUGUACUCCAGCGCAGUGUCUCUCUGUCAACAUUGAUGUGAAAUCCUGCUGUUUCAUUGCCAUUUUAAUUCAACCUUACUGACGUUAACUGCCUUUUUAUGGUUUAAUUCAGUCAUAUCACUUGUUCAGUUUAAUUUACUUCAGUGUCAUAUCGGUGCGGUUCAGUUUAUAGUUUAAUUCAGUUUUGUAUCCGUUUGUUCAGUUUAUUGUGUAAUUCAGUGUCAUGUCUCUGUCUCUUAUCUGUCUCUCAGGUGUUUAACAUUCAGAGUGGGGAUUCCUUAAUGCUACUGAAUUGUAUUACGUAUUUUAAGGAACAAAUUGAAACAUUUCUGUUGUGUCUGUGAAUUAUUUUCAGUGAUUAUGGGCUCCUAUUCCACAUAUGACACUGAAUUGUUGCAUUUAUAACUGACUCAUGUUCAAAUAAAAAAAUAUUUCUGAAUGGG